Molecule: long non-coding RNA, 263 nt
Filed under: Durio zibethinus
Lineage: Eukaryota; Viridiplantae; Streptophyta; Magnoliopsida; Malvales; Malvaceae
Description: long non-coding RNA (DZIB_LNC000954)
Source: RNAcentral
UUUCUCUCAAAUCAGUAGCUUUGCUUACUGUUUUCUGUGUGUUCAGCAUUGUUCCAGAGGGUCCCUUUUAUAGGGAUUGAUCAGGAGUUCCUGAUCAAUCCCAAUUCCUCCUUGGACGGGGAUUCAAUCUUUGAAUCCAAUUGGACUCUUUUGAUUGAAUCCCCACUCCUAGUAGGAUUCUUCAACAUUUAAUCUUAGCCAUCCAAAAAAAAGAAAAUAAGAAAUAAUAAUAAUAAUCGGAUAAAAAAAGAAUCAGAUAAAUG